GUCACGGUGUUUGAGAAGACGCAGGCAUUUGCGCGGUUCGGAGGCCCCAUCCAGUUCGCGUCCAACGCCCUCAGCGUUAUCAA
This 83-nucleotide non-coding RNA is filed under the name uncultured eukaryote. The record is from RNAcentral.